AACGAACGCUGGCGGCAUGCCUAACACAUGCAAGUCGAACGAGACCUUCGGGUCUAGUGGCGCACGGGUGCGUAACGCGUGGGAACCUGCCCUUAGGUUCGGAAUAACUCCCCUAAAGGGGUGCUAAUACCGGAUAAUUUCUUCUGACCAAAGAUUUAUCGCCUUUGGAUGGGCCCGCGUUGGAUUAGCCAGUUGGUAGGGUAAAAGCCUACCAAGGCGACGAUCCAUAGCUGGUCUGAGAGGAUGAUCAGCCACACUGGGACUGAGACACGGCCCAGACUCCUGCGGGAGGCAGCAGUGGGGAAUAUUGGAAAAUGGGCGAAAGGCUGAUCCAGCAAUGCCGCGUGAGUGAUGAAGGCCUUAGGGUUGUAAAGCUCUUUUACCCGGGAUGAUAAUGACAGUACCGGGAGAAUAAGCUCCGGCUAACUCCGUG
Molecule: ribosomal RNA, 433 nt
Filed under: uncultured bacterium
Lineage: Bacteria
Description: partial 16S ribosomal RNA
Rfam family: Bacterial small subunit ribosomal RNA
Source: RNAcentral